CAGCACCUCAAGUGGUCAGGAUGAUUAUUGGGCCUAAAGCAUCCGUAGCCGGCGCUGUAAGUUUUCGGUUAAAUCUGUACGCUCAACGUACAGGCUGCCGGGAAUACUGCAGCGCUAGGGAGUGGGAGAGGUAGACGGUACUCGGUAGGAAGGGGUAAAAUCCUUUGAUCUAUUGAUGACCACCUGUGGCGAAGGCGGUCUACCAGAACACGUCCGACGGUGAGGGAUGAAAGCUGGGGGCACGAACCGGAUUAGAUACCCGAGUAGUCC
Molecule: ribosomal RNA, 270 nt
Filed under: uncultured archaeon
Lineage: Archaea
Description: partial 16S ribosomal RNA
Rfam family: Archaeal small subunit ribosomal RNA
Source: RNAcentral